CCUACGGGAGGCAGCAGUGGGGAAUUUUGGACAAUGGGCGAAAGCCUGAUCCAGCAAUGCCGCGUGAGUGAAGAAGGCCUUCGGGUUGUAAAGCUCUUUUGUCAGGGAAGAAACGGUGAGAGCUAAUAUCUUUUGCUAAUGACGGUACCUGAAGAAUAAGCACCGGCUAACUACGUGCCAGCAGCCGCGGUAAUACGUAGGGUGCAAGCGUUAAUCGGAAUUACUGGGCGUAAAGCGUGCGCAGGCGGUUUUGUAAGUCUGAUGUGAAAUCCCCGGGCUCAACCUGGGAAUUGCAUUGGAGACUGCAAGGCUAGAAUCUGGCAGAGGGGGGUAGAAUUCCACGUGUAGCAGUGAAAUGCGUAGAUAUGUGGAGGAACACCGAUGGCGAAGGCAGCCCCCUGGGUCAAGAUUGACGCUCAUGCACGAAAGCGUGGGGAGCAAACAGGAUUAGAUACCCUGGUAGUCCACGCCCUAAACGAUGUCUACUAGUUGUCGGGUCUUAAUUGACUUGGUAACGCAGCUAACGCGUGAAGUAGACCGCCUGGGGAGUACGGUCGCAAGAUUAAAACUCAAAUGAAAUUGACGG
This 586-nucleotide ribosomal RNA is filed under the name uncultured bacterium. Its description in RNAcentral is "bacterial SSU rRNA". It matches the Rfam family "Bacterial small subunit ribosomal RNA", at positions 338 to 916 of the family's 1533-position model. The record is from RNAcentral.